RNAcentral lists this ribosomal RNA (450 nucleotides) under uncultured bacterium. Its description in RNAcentral is "partial 16S ribosomal RNA". It matches the Rfam family "Bacterial small subunit ribosomal RNA", at positions 354 to 796 of the family's 1533-position model. The record is from RNAcentral.
GUGAGGAAUAUUGCGCAAUGGGCGAAAGCCUGACGCAGCGACGCCGCGUGGAGGAUGAAGGUCUUCGGAUUGUAAACUUCUGUUAAGUGGGAAGAAAGGGCUGUUUUUAAUAGAAGCAGUUAAUGACGGUACCAUUAAAGAAAGCACCGGCUAAACUCGUGCCAGCAGCCGCGGUAAUACGAGUGGUGCAAGCGUUAUUCGGAAUAAUUGGGCGUACAGGGUGUGUAGGCGGUAUGUUAAGUAUGUUGUUAAAGACUCCGGCCUAACCGGAGAGAGGCAGCGGAAACAGGCGUAGUAGAGGGUGGAAGAGAGAAGUGGAAUUCGCGGUGUAGCGGUAUAAUGCGUAGAUAUCGAGAGGAACACCGAUGGCGAAGGCAGCUUCUUGGUCCAUACCUGACGCUGAAACACGAAAGCGUGGGGAGCAAACAGGAUUAGAAACCCCAGUAGUCC